RNAcentral lists this ribosomal RNA (419 nucleotides) under bacterium. RNAcentral's name for it is "partial 16S ribosomal RNA". It matches the Rfam family "Bacterial small subunit ribosomal RNA", at positions 355 to 776 of the family's 1533-position model. The record is from RNAcentral.
UGGGGGAUAUUGCACAAUGGGCGAAAGCCUGAUGCAGCGACGCCGCGUGGGGGAUGAAGGCCUUCGGGUUGUAAACUUCUUUUGCUCUGAACAAGGCGCACCAUGGGGUGUGUUGAGUGUAGGGGUUUAUUAGCGCCGGCUAACUACGUGCCAGCAGCCGCGGUAAUACGUAGGGCGCGAGCGUUGUCCGGAAUUAUUGGGCGUAAAGGGCUUGUAGGUGGCUGGUUGCGUCUGUCGUGAAAGCUCAUGGCUUAACUGUGGGUUUGCGGUGGGUACGGGCUGGCUUGAGUGCAGUAGGGGAGGCUGGAAUUCCUGGUGUAGCGGUGGAAUGCGCAGAUAUCAGGAGGAAUACCGGUGGCGAAGGCGGGUCUCUGGGCUGUUACUGACACUGAGGAGCGAAAGCAUGGGGAGCGAACAGG